Molecule: ribosomal RNA, 439 nt
Filed under: uncultured bacterium
Lineage: Bacteria
Description: partial 16S ribosomal RNA
Rfam family: Bacterial small subunit ribosomal RNA
Source: RNAcentral
CUACGGGUGGCACCAGUGAGGAAUAUUGCACAAUGGGAGGAACCCUGAUGCAGCAACGCCGCGUGGAGGAUGACGCAUUUCGGUGUGUAAACUCCUUUUAUAUGUCAAGAAAAUGACGGUAGCAUAUGAAUAAGCACCGGCUAACUCCGUGCCAGCAGCCGCGGUAAUACGGAGGGUGCGAGCGUUACUCAGAAUCACUGGGCGUAAAGGACGCGUAGGCGGGUUGGAAAGUCAGGUGUGAAAUCCUACAGCUUAACUGUAGAACUGCACUUGAAACUUCUAAUCUAGAGUAUGGGAGGGGGAGAUGGAAUUAGUGGUGUAGGGGUAAAAUCCGUAGAUAUCACUAGGAAUACCUAAAGCGAAGGCGAUCUCCUGGAACAUUACUGACGCUAAGGCGUGAAAGCGUGGGGAGCAAACAGGAUUAGAUACCCCGGUAGUC